UACGUAGGGGGCUAGCGUUGUCCGGAUUUAUUGGGCGUAAAGAGCGUGUAGGCGGCCGCACAGGUCCGUUGUGAAAACUGGAGGCUUAACCUUCAGACGUCGAUGGAAACCGUGCGGCUAGAGUCCGGAAGAGGAGAAUGGAGUUCCUGGUGUAGCGGUGAAAUGCGCAGAUAUCAGGAAGAACACCCGUGGCUAAGGCGGUUCUCUAGUACGGUACUGACGCUGAGACGCGAAAGCGUGGGGAGCGAACAGG
Molecule: ribosomal RNA, 253 nt
Filed under: uncultured bacterium
Lineage: Bacteria
Description: partial 16S ribosomal RNA
Rfam family: Bacterial small subunit ribosomal RNA
Source: RNAcentral